UACGUAGGGGCCUAGCGUUGUCCGGAUUUAUUGGGCGUAAGAGCGUGUAGGCGGCCAGACAGGUCAGCUGUGAAAACUCGAGGCUCAACCUCGAGACGUCGGUUGAAACCGGUCUGGCUAGAGUCCGGGAAGAGGAGAGUGGAAUUCCCGGUGUAGCGGUGAAAUGCGCAGAUAUCGGGAAGAACACCCGUGGCGAAGGCGGCUCUCUGGGGACGGUACUGACGCUGAGACGCGGAAAGCGUGGG
This 245-nucleotide ribosomal RNA is filed under the name uncultured bacterium. Its description in RNAcentral is "partial 16S ribosomal RNA". It matches the Rfam family "Bacterial small subunit ribosomal RNA", at positions 524 to 765 of the family's 1533-position model. The record is from RNAcentral.